GGGCUUACACAAGCGGUGGAGCAUGUGGUUUAAUUCGAAACAACGCGCAGAACCUUACCAAUCCUUGCAAUAUACAGGAAGCAACUGUUAUAAGUUGUCUUUUGGUAUACAGGCGCUGCAUGGCUGUCGUCAGUUCGUGGCGUGAGCUGUUGGGGUUAAGUCCUAGAACGAACGCAACCCUCUUAGCAUGUGCAUUUUUAAUGCCUUGUUAAACUGCCAGUGACAUACGGGAGGAAGGAGAGGAUGACGUCAAGUCCGCAUGGCCCUUAUGGGUUGGGCUACACACGUGCUACAAUGGCGAACACAAAGGGAUGCAAUCCCGCGAGGGGAGCU
RNAcentral lists this ribosomal RNA (333 nucleotides) under uncultured bacterium. RNAcentral describes it as "bacterial SSU rRNA". It matches the Rfam family "Bacterial small subunit ribosomal RNA", at positions 917 to 1269 of the family's 1533-position model. The record is from RNAcentral.